CAGAUGCCGAAAUCGACACAACUAUCGUUAAGGAAGAAUAUGAUGUGAAACUUAAAAUUACGAAUGCAAUCACUCAGCCCAUGGCGCCGAAGAAAUUAACCAAGAACAUUCAUAAACUUAUCAAAAAAGCAUCAAAACACAUUAGCAUUAUUUACGAUAUGGAUUAAAGGAUGUUCAAGUGCGUCCGCGGAAUAAUGAAACAGGGAAAGCAAUGUGUAUAUUGUGUGUUGAAAUGGAGGAUUGUCAUUUUCGCUGCAGAAAAGUGGAAAUCAUGUGUCACUUGCCAUCUGUUUGUGAGAAACGCAAUAUCCCAUAUUGCUAUACGCCGAGUCGGAAGACUUGGGAGCAGCAGUGGGUGUGAAAUGAGGCACAGUCGCAAUACUAAUCCGAGAGCAGCCCGAUUAUCAGGAACAGUUCGAUAAACUAAAAGUGAAGAAUCAAUGCCGUCAACACGAAUAUACCAUUGUGCGAGUUUUUACAACACGAUAAAUUUUUAGGAGUAUUUUCAACCAUUUUUCCAAUCAAAACAAUUUAUGGUGUUACAAUCAAUCAUUUUGUAUUUUUGUUAUCAUGCCAUAUACUUAAUUAAAAUUCACUAUUGUUAUUCGUCAAGAAGGCGAAUAAUUUCAUUUUCAUAUUCGUUUUUUCAUUU
This is a long non-coding RNA of Toxorhynchites rutilus septentrionalis, 652 nucleotides long. RefSeq lists it as uncharacterized. The record is from RefSeq and is a predicted model, not a curated record. The transcript is spliced from 3 exons. NCBI's taxonomy places the organism in Eukaryota, Metazoa, Arthropoda, Insecta, Diptera, Culicidae.